GACUGUAGGCUGCAACUCGCCUACACGAAGUCGGAAUUGCUAGUAAUCGCAGAUCAGCAUGCUGCGGUGAAUACGUUCCCGGGCCUUGUACACACCGCCCGUCACACCAUGGGAGUCGGUAACACCCGAAGUCGGUAGCCUAACCGUAAGGAGGGCGCCGCCGAAGGUGGGAUUGAUGACUGGGGUGAAGUCGUAACAAGGUAGC
Molecule: ribosomal RNA, 205 nt
Filed under: uncultured bacterium
Lineage: Bacteria
Description: partial 16S ribosomal RNA
Rfam family: Bacterial small subunit ribosomal RNA
Source: RNAcentral